GAUGAACGCUGGCGGCGUGCUUAACACAUGCAAGUCGAACGAAGCAUUUGCGACAGAUUUUUUCGGAAUGAAGUUGCUUAUGACUGAGUGGCGGACGGGUGAGUAACGCGUGGGUAACCUGCCUUGUACUGGGGGAUAGCAGCUGGAAACGGCUGGUAAUACCGCAUAAGCGCACAAUGUUGCAUGACAUGGUGUGAAAAACUCCGGUGGUAUAAGAUGGACCCGCGUCUGAUUAGCUAGUUGGUGAGAUAACAGCCCACCAAGGCGACGAUCAGUAGCCGACCUGGGAGGGUGACCGGCCACAUUGGGACUGAGACACGGCCCAGACUCCUACGGGAGGCAGCAGUGGGGAAUAUUGCACAAUAGAGGGAACUCUGAUGCAGCGACGCCGCGUGAGUGAAGAAGUAAUUCAUUAUGUAAAGCUCUAUCAGCAAGGAAGGUAGUGACGGUACCUAACUAAGAAGCUCCGGCUAAAUACGUG
This 481-nucleotide ribosomal RNA is filed under the name uncultured bacterium. Its description in RNAcentral is "partial 16S ribosomal RNA". It matches the Rfam family "Bacterial small subunit ribosomal RNA", at positions 28 to 507 of the family's 1533-position model. The record is from RNAcentral.